Molecule: transfer RNA, 56 nt
Filed under: Rhigonema thysanophora
Lineage: Eukaryota; Metazoa; Nematoda; Chromadorea; Rhabditida; Rhigonematidae
Description: tRNA-Glu
Source: RNAcentral
GAAACAUUAGUAUAUAUCUAGUAUUUUUUUCUUUCACAAAAGAGGACCUUGUUUUG